GGCAGCACUGUUGCAUGACACAGAGUGUCAGACCAAAUAAAAAGGAUAAAGCAAGCUAAGUAGCAGCUUUCAUCUCUGUUGUCUGGCUGUGGGUGUGACGCGAGUCCUAGCACUAUGAACUCUCCGUCCCCGAGAAGUAGCUAGUGCGGCUCUGUAACCUUGAUGUGUACAGAGACGUGUGGUACCGAGGGCUGACCCUAGACACAUUACUAAGAGGAAAGUGCUCUAUCACCCAGCUUUUCCUCCAGCACCCCGCCUCCUCUAUUUAUAUAGACCAGGCUAGUUUCCAACUCUAGAUUGAUCCUCCUUCCUCUCAAGCGAUGAGAUCACAGUACGUCUGCCAUCUACACCUUGUUCUUUCUUUAGGAUAGCUUAGCCUAAACACAGGACACUUUACGUUGAUACUACAAGUAACUCUAUGUUAUAAAAACAAGGACUUUAUAUGGAAAGUUUAGCAGAGAUGCAGAAUAUAUGAACACUGUCACAGAACACAAUAUAGGAGUGGCUCGUGCCUGACACACCAGAUUUGGGAACCUAAGGUAAAAGAAUUGAUGCAAGUUCAAGCCAGCCAACAUAAGUUCCAGGCCAGCCUGGCCUAGACUUGUCUCAAAUAAAUAAACACUAUGUGAACACUGAGGAUUUAAUGGAUUUCUCAUACUAACCAAACAACAAAAAUUUUUCAUUAUCAAGACAGUGUCAUUUACAAUAUUUUCAGGAACUAAAAGCAAAUUAACUUUGGAAAAUAUAUUUCAUCUAGGGUUUCUUAUAGAAUCUCACUGUAACCCAGGCUGGCUUCAAACUUCUAUGUAAAGGAAAAUGACUUUCAACUUACUAUCCUGCCUUCAAUCCCCAAACAGUGUGACUACAAGGCACAUGCCACUGCAUCCAGUCUGGGUUUAAUGUCUUAAAAGGCCUACAAUGUAACAAUUUCUAUUCCAGAACAGUCCUAAUGCAGAAUCAAUUUUCAGUAAAUAAGGAUUUUCCGAUAUUGAAGUUUUACAUGUAUAUCAAACUUCUUUCCCCAUCUAUUUCCAAAUCUAAGAAGUUUGUCUAGAUUGUUCACCAAAAUUAGAAAUUAAGGGAUUUAGAAAAAAAAAAAAAGCUUUUCUUUAAACAACUUUAACAAUAAACAGACAAUCUAAAGAGACAUGUAAGUUAUACUUCAAAACUAGCCCAUGUUCAUUCUCACCUCAAAGCUCGCCCCAUAGUCUCAUAGUUCAUAUCUGGUUUGUUCUUGUGCUUUCCCCAAAGCUUCGAGACAGCCUUUGAGUCCACGAGUUUGAAUAUGCCCUUUUCUCUCUGAGUCCACUUAAUAUACCUGGGACAAGUAUUUUUAUCUUGAAGUAGGUCUAAAAGAAACUCCCACAGAUAAGUUGUGUUUCCUUUAAAAACAAAAACAAUGAUAGGUAUUAAUUUAAAAUUCAUUAAUAUGAUUAAUUGCAAAUAAAAUACCCUGAUUUACAAUAAAAAUAUUAAAUAUACUUAUCUGCCAUUUCUUUUUGAGGUGAGAUCUCAUUUUGCAGCCUUGCGAGACCUGCAAAUUGCUACAGACUAAGCUGCUCUCAAAGCUGCCUCUGCCUCCCAAAUGCUGGGAUCAAAGGCCUGCAGCACCAUGCCCAGACUACGUGUCUAUUCUUAAAAAUCUAUGCUUUUCCUCAAGGAAGCUGACAGAGGCCCUGGAUCUCUACUGUCCUAUGUCCUGUAUCCAAGGCUUCAACUUCAGUAAAGGAAAUAGCAUAAUGCUUAGUAUAACACAAGAGUAUAAUGCUGAGUUAAACAGAUUUGAACUCAAUAUAAUAACCUGUACAUGUUUUAUAUUCUAUGCCAAGUCCCUUAAAACUCAUCAGAAGGCACUAACCAGCUUUGCUAUUGUUAGUGCUGAGGCGGUCUCAGAGCCUAGGCUGACCCUACAGCCUCCACCUCCCCAGUGCUUGUGCCAGUGCUUGGGACAUCAAUCAGGACCUUUUUGCAAGAAAUCCUUUUCUUUGAUUAACCAGGAGGCCGGAACUGUGGGGCACUUGCCUACAGGAUGCCUCAAUCCACGAACUCUUAUGAUCUCUGAACAGCUAGUAAAUGUAAACUGAACUACCAUAUAAUUAGUCCUGGAUCACACCACUAGCAACAUCAAACAUUUAUGCAAAAUAAAAUGUCUACACUUGAAGCUGGAGAGAUGGCUCAGUGGUUACAAGCUCAUACUGUUUUCCAGAGGACCAAAACUUCCAUCUUAGCGCCCAUACCAGGGCAGCUCAAUAGGUUUACUACCUAUUAACUCCAGCUCUGAGACUGUAAUGCCUCUGGCCUCCACGGCACCUGCACUGACUGACAUGCACCUACAGACAUAUACACAUGAAUAAAAAUAAAAAUGGCAUCUAUGUGUAUCUAUGACAGUCUGAUGUCUGCCUCAAGGAACGAACAAUUUAGGGAAGGGGGCAGAUGACAAGAUAAGACAAUGAUGUAGGAUCAGCCCUAAACAAUGUAAGACAUGUCACAAGGCACUGUGUCUCAAAAAGAAUCACAGAAACCAGUGGCUCAGAUUUCAGGAAUGGUUAAGUCUUGGAAGACAGUUAAUAUAUGCAUAAAGGGGAAGAUUUUGCAAAGUACAAUAAAUAAACCCAAAAGGAAGAAAAGGAUUCUCUUAUUUAUUAAUUUCCCUUGGAAAGGGGAAGAGAACCUGCACCUUGAGAAAGCCAGACUUUGCGAGCUGUUUUCCAUUUUCUUCCUGCAGAGCCUCUAGGAACAGGGAUCCUUAAACUGAUGAAAGAAGACUCCUGAGAGAAAAAGUGGGAAUAGGUGAAGCAUCCAUUGGUUCGGACUCUUCCGUCGAUACCUCUACUACAGUCUCUGUAAUGACAUCUGGCCUCAUCGCAGCAUGGAUGAACUCUGGAGUUGAUAUACAAGGAGGGACAAACACUUCCACUAUAAAAAAAAGUUGAAAAAUUAAAAUUCCCCACCCCUAUUAUAGUUUCCUAUGUGGAAAGUUCAAUAUUUAGAAGAGGCAAGGUUUACAGAAGAAUUAUUCAAAGUAAGAUUAAGAACUUGUGCCUGAAGAAAUCAAGUAACUGAAUAUCCAAAAUGAUCUAAAAUACACAAGGACAAUCACUUUGACAGUUAUGAAGCCAACCUCUUUUUCAUGUUUUUAGAGACUUUUUAAAGAAGACUUAUUUUUAUUUUAUGUGUACGGAUGCUUUGCUUGCAUGUUUGUGCACUUAUGUGCUGAAUGCUUCCAGAAGCCAGAAGGGGGCAUCAGAUCCUCUAGAAUUGGGAGUUACCAUGUGGGUGUGGAAACCAAACCCAGGUCCUCUGCAAGAGCACACUUAACCUGAGCCAUCUCUCCAACUCCCUUUAAACUUAUAGGUUAAUUAUAGCAACAUUUUACAUUAUUAUUUUGACAAAGAAAAUUAAAAAAUAAUCGUCCUUAAAUAAUUACUUCCAUUGUACAUAUCUGCCAUUAUUUAUUAACUGAGGAAUACAAGGACAUGAUACAAAAUGUAAAAAUGUACAAAUGUAUAUUCAGUACAAAGUAUAUAUUUUUUCAUUUUAAAAUAUGAAAAAGGGCCUAACUGUUCAUUUCAGGACAGUCACUAAAUAUUAUUGUAAAUCACUAAAAUAGUACAUACAGAUUUGCUAUCUGGUAUUCUACUACAUAAUGUGUUGUUUCAACUCCCAUCACAUACACAUGAAUAACCAGGAUACCACACUUCUACUUCAAAUUAGGAAAUCCAGAUACUGUCUCCUAACAUGGAUCAAUAUGCUACCCAGCAAAGCCACCGUUUACUUCUCAUAACCUUGAAGAAUGGACUGGAUUCCUGAGCUAACUAAAAAUAUGAUUGUAGGAAAAAUGGAAAAUGGCUAAGUGUUUUAAAGAACACCGACUGCCCUUUCAGGAAUGGAAUACAAUUCCCAACAUCUACAUGACAGCUCACAACCAUCUUUAACUCUAGUCCCAAAGGAUCUGGCCCUCUCUUCUGGCACCCAUGGGCAUCAAACACACACAUGUGCAGACAUGCAUGCAGGCAAACACCCAUACACAUAAAGUAACCUUUUAAAAUUGGCUGCGGUUAGCAACUAACUAUAAUUCCUGCACAAUGAAUUAAAAUUAGGACAAAAUCAAACUAGUGCAACACUACUAUUAAAGUCAAUCUACAAGGAAAAAGGAGCCUUAUUUCACAAGAUGAAAGGUGUGUAAGAUAAUUCCUUCCCGCUCUACCAUGGCAGUUCCAUGUAGUUACUGCCUGCUGAUCAGUAAGUAACGGAGUCAAAGACUAUAGGAAGCAAAUGGUCCAACUGUUCCUACUCUUAAGGACUACAACCACCUACAAUUUACCAGAAUCAAGAAAAUAAACAUUAUACAUAAA
Long non-coding RNA from Arvicola amphibius (Eurasian water vole), 4355 nucleotides. RefSeq lists it as uncharacterized. The transcript is spliced from 2 exons. The record is from RefSeq and is a predicted model, not a curated record. NCBI's taxonomy places the organism in Eukaryota, Metazoa, Chordata, Mammalia, Rodentia, Cricetidae.